This 434-nucleotide ribosomal RNA is filed under the name uncultured Lachnospiraceae bacterium. RNAcentral's name for it is "partial 16S ribosomal RNA". It matches the Rfam family "Bacterial small subunit ribosomal RNA", at positions 341 to 792 of the family's 1533-position model. Lineage: Bacteria; Bacillati; Bacillota; Clostridia; Lachnospirales; Lachnospiraceae. The record is from RNAcentral.
ACGGGAGGCAGUAGUGGGGGAUAUUGCACAAUGGGGGAAACCCUGAUGCAGCGACGCCGCGUGAGCGAUGAAGUAUUUCGGUAUGUAAAGCUCUAUCAGCAGGGAAGAAAAUGACGGUACCUGACUAAGAAGCUCCGGCUAAAUACGUGCCAGCAGCCGCGGUAAUACGUAUGGAGCAAGCGUUAUCCGGAUUUACUGGGUGUAAAGGGAGCGUAGACGGUUUGCCAAGUCUGAUGUGAAAGCUAGGGGCUCAGCCCCUAAACUGCAUUGGAAACUGGUAGACUAGAGUGUCGGAGAGGUAAGUGGAAUUCCUAGUGUAGCGGUGAAAUGCGUAGAUAUUAGGAGGAACACCAGUGGCGAAGGCGGCUUACUGGACGAUAACUGACGUUGAGGCUCGAAAGCGUGGGGAGCAAACAGGAUUAGAUACCCUGGUA